UACGGAGGGUGCAAGCGUUAUCCGGAAUUACUGGGUUUAAAGGGUGCGUAGGCGGCUUGAUAAGUCGGGGGUGAAAGCCUACCGCUUAACGAUAGAAUUGCCUUUGAUACUGUAAAGCUUGAAAGGGGUUGAGGUCAGCAGAAUGUGGCAUGUAGCGGUGAAAUGCAUAGAUAUGACAUAGAACACCGGUUGCGAAGGCAGCUGGCUGGGCCUACUUUGACGCUGAGGCACGAAAGCGUGGGGAGCGAACAGG
Molecule: ribosomal RNA, 253 nt
Filed under: uncultured bacterium
Lineage: Bacteria
Description: partial 16S ribosomal RNA
Rfam family: Bacterial small subunit ribosomal RNA
Source: RNAcentral